RNAcentral lists this transfer RNA (56 nucleotides) under Ascaridia sp. GHL-2013. RNAcentral describes it as "tRNA-Gly". The record is from RNAcentral. Lineage: Eukaryota; Metazoa; Nematoda; Chromadorea; Rhabditida; Ascaridiidae.
GAUUUUUUAGUAUAUUUUAGUAUGUUUAAUUUCCAAUUAAAAGGUUGAAAGAAUCG